GUCUUGGGAAGUGCCACCAGGGGCGCGAGACAAGGGGACUGUAAACUGGGCUCUGAAAAGGCCCAGGAGUGACCUGAACUUCUGCCAGGAACAGUCAGAUUGCCCAGGAGUAAGGGGUCCCGUAGGGGCCCUGGGGCAGAAGACUCAAAAGUACUAUGGCUGAGCCAGAGCUGAGGAUCAGCAAGAUACUCCUUGUAUCAUGGGGCCAUCUUAACAUUCCAGCCUUCUUCACCAUUCCGAGCGUGAUAUGGUGUGAAACAUCACUCCAUUAUUCCGUGCUUGGAUGCUGGUGUUGUCCCCUGUCACCCUCUCAGAUAUAGUGAGGCAGCACUAACUAUUGUCCUUGGCUAUCAGCCAAGUCACCAGAAGUUCCUUUAUCACCAUGUCAGCUGAUCUCAAGUCACGUGUGCCUCUCAUAUCCUUCUCCUAUCACCUCUCAGCCUCCUUCCACCUCCUUUCCGUCUUAUCCUUGUGAGAGUUGCCUUUAUUCUGACUAAUAGGGGGGAAUGUUACAACUUGGACUCUUCCUUCUCUCCAGCACAAAGACCAGUGCGUGGCUGCUGUUGUCCUCUUCAGGGCUGGAGUAUAGUGGUAUUGUCACCUCAGACCUUUAGUUAGACUGUUUCAUUCUUCAGUUGGCAAUCACUGGUUUUACUUGGGCAUGGCCUUGGCCAGUAAGUUAGUCUUUAGUCUGAAUGCGUCAUUGCUAGUCCCUCCAAAAGAUGCAUCCCAUUCUUGACAAAGGCUUUCAUUGCUAUUGCUGCUGCAAAGUGCUCAGAAGCGUCAGAGGAACUGAAAGGCUUCAGAAGCUUGGAAGUCUGGCUGAGAGUGGACAGAGAAAAAAGAUCUCUGGGAGGGAGCGAGGGAGGGAGGCAGAGAAAGAUUGCUCCAUAGCCAAUCAGGAUCAGGGCCUCAUUGUGCUAGGUGCUGUUUGUGCACAGUCAGGUGACAGCCCUUACCCUGAUGAGCUUACAAUGUAAAGAGUCAGGACAGACUAAGGAAGUAUUAUUAUCCCCAUUUGACAGAUGGGGAACUGAGGCAGUUGCCCAAGUUCAGACAGGCAAUCAGUGCAGAGCCAAGACUUGAAUGCAGGUUUCCAGUCCUGUGCCUUAAACAAUAGACCAUCCUUCCACUUCAAUCCAAGCUCAUUUCAUAGUGCCAUCUGGUCCCCAAGAAAUCCUUUGGCAUUUGUUACCAUUUCAGAUACAAAGAUCUAGUGCAGGGCUUUGUUAUUAUCCAGGAGCGGCGUUCAUUCCAUCUAGCCCGAGGGGUGGGGCAUUAUAUUGCUUCAUGCUCAUUAGACAGCGCCCAGUUGUGAACGUGUGAGGAGGUGGAGGAUCAGAUAAAGCCUGGAAACAUGCCAUAUAUGGGACAUGCUCAGGAAGCCCCUGGGAUCACUGGAAUUAAGCUUUAACAUAUUCUGAGCAAAUAUUGUCCUAGCCUGGUUCUGAGAAUUCUCUGUGUGCCUUUUCUUGUGGAAUCAGAGGCAUGGAGCGGGCACCCAGCCAGGGGCUCUGGCUCAAUACGCUGGGGCUGGCAGCAGGCUCUUUUCAAGGAUUUGGACCUAUGGCUUUAGCACCCAGUAUCUUCUUCUGAAUUGGUCUCCAAAUGUAAUCCAGUCAUUUGAUAACAACACGGCCUCUUCGCAAGCUGCUGCCACUGCAAGGAACACCUUGAAAGCCACGUUCCUGAAAACCAACACUGCUCAUAGGUGUUGCGGAUGGGAGCUGUUUGAAUAAGAACCACCACCUACUCCUUCAAAAAGCUGUUUGUGUCUCUCUACAGCUAUAGGCAAGCAGCCUGUUAAAGCAGCACCUGAAGUAUCCUCUGAGUGGCACAUCCUCCCUCUCUAAGAUCUAUUAUAUGGCUUGUGGAUAGUUCACUGACUGACAAGGAAAGUGAGAUAACAAGAGAGGGGAGAGACAUUUCAUGGAAGACCCUCCAUCCCUCACAAGGGAGUUUUGGAUGGGGUGCAGGACUCUGGCAUACAGGGGAAAUCCUGCAGAUCCCCUGUGUUGGGCUUCAUAGUCCCAGGAUGUUCAGAAGAGAAUUCUGCAUGUCCCCUGUGUGAGGAUUCAGAGCUUUGGAAGUGGUUGGUCUUGGGAUACAAUGGAACUGUACUCACUGGUGCCUCCACAGAAACAGAGUUACAUCAGUAUUGUCUAAUGUUGCCAUCUCUGAGGUACAAAGAAACAGAACAUCUGGGAUGACCCUGAGCCCAUAAAACUGGACAACUGGCAGUGUGUACUGAGCACCUGUAGAGAUUUCCCAUGACAGCUACCUCAAAAAAGGGACAGUCAUGGGAAAACCUGGACAGGUGGCAUCCCUAGUAUUGUCCACAAUUAUUUCUUGUCGGGGAGUCUGGUAUGGGAACAACUGUGAGCUCCCCACAGCCAGUAAUCCAAUAGCAUUCUCACUAGUUACCUCUGAAGGCCAUACAAGGUGGGUUCUCAGCCUGUGAGUUGCACCUGGCCUCCCUUUUUUUAUGGCUAAGGGGAAGAAAGGGAGCCAUCCUGAACCUCCUUUCUAUUGUAACACGGGUCACAAUAUGGAAAAGGGUGAGAAGUAUUCACUGCUUUACAGCAUUCCCUACCAUGAUUUCUAGUAUGGGAGGCAACCAUUGAAGUAUCUAUGAGCUCAUUGUAGCCAAUGCCCCAGAGUCAUUAAUGCAAUGAAAUCCUACUGGGCAUUUGUUAUACUAACUUCUGCUGGGGAAACUCUCCCACAGCCAGCGUGUGAAAUAAUACAGCAUAGGCGGCUCUGACAUUCAAGCUGGGUUUUCUGAGGAGUGUUCUGUUCAUGAGGCCCACACUGCACAACCAGAAUAGUAAUAAUAAGGGCUUGCCCCAAUCUGACUAGUUACAUGCUAACCCUAGCUUGAAAUUACAGAGCUGCAGAGCAAGGUAAAUGUGCUAAGUCUGACUUGAGGGGCAGUGCAAACAAGCAAAAAACAGGCUAAUCUUUGUUUACCUGUUGCCAACUCUCAUGAUUUUGUCAUGAGUCUCGUGAUAAUUACUGUGUUCCUUAAAGCCCAUGGAAUCACGUGGAUGCGUGAUGAUUCCCGCCUUCAUUCUUAAAGAAAAAGUAAGUGUCUAGCCCUCAUGGUUGUGGAGAAAGCUUCAAAAUGUGACCUCAGUGCACCCUAAAGGCUCAAAAAGCAGAAAGCAAAUAAAAAGA
Molecule: long non-coding RNA, 3177 nt
Organism: Trachemys scripta elegans
Lineage: Eukaryota; Metazoa; Chordata; Testudines; Emydidae
Exons: 3
Source: RefSeq, a predicted model, not a curated record